GACAGAGGGUGCAAACGUUGUUCGGAAUUACUGGGCGUAAAGCGCGUGUAGGCGGCUUUGCAAGUCGGAUGUGAAAGCCCACGGCUCAACCGUGGAAGUGCAUCCGAAACUGCAUGGCUGGAGUCUCGGAGAGGAAGGUGGAAUGCUUGGUGUAGAGGUGAAAUUCGUAGAUAUCAAGCAGAACACCUGCGGCGAAGGCGGCCUUCUGGACGAUGACUGACGCUGAGACGCGAAAGCGUGGGGAGCAAACAGG
Molecule: ribosomal RNA, 253 nt
Filed under: uncultured bacterium
Lineage: Bacteria
Description: partial 16S ribosomal RNA
Rfam family: Bacterial small subunit ribosomal RNA
Source: RNAcentral